RNAcentral lists this ribosomal RNA (117 nucleotides) under Labrus bergylta (ballan wrasse). The record is from RNAcentral. Lineage: Eukaryota; Metazoa; Chordata; Actinopteri; Labriformes; Labridae.
GCUUACGGCCAUACCACCCUGAACACGCCCGAUCUCGUCCGAUCUCGGAAGCUAAGCAGGGUCGGGCUGGUUAGUACUUGGAUGGGACCGCCUGGGAAUACCAGGUGCUGUAAAGCU